Molecule: long non-coding RNA, 2132 nt
Filed under: Heterocephalus glaber (naked mole-rat)
Lineage: Eukaryota; Metazoa; Chordata; Mammalia; Rodentia; Bathyergidae
Description: lncRNA (ENSHGLG00000049504.1)
Source: RNAcentral
UCUGAGGAUCCCCGAGAGGACCGGUUUGUUCAGGGCCCCCUGAGGUUCGUGGUCGGGAGCGACUUUCAAGGGCUGGGGGGUGCUGGGCAGGCCUGAGAGGAUCUGACGGUUGGAGAGAUGACUUUUGGGGACCUGAAGGUUGGCGGGGGGGGGGCAGGAGGGUCCGACCAUCCAGGUGGCCCAGACCAUCCAGUUAGGGUUGGGAUGGGCGGCCCCACAGAUAUGGGGGUGCCUGGAGAGGGGUGCUGGGGGGCCCCGAGAGCGGCUCACCCUGGCAGCCCGCGACGAGUAGGGGUCCUCGAAGAGCGCCCACACACGGGGCUGCCAGCGGCGCCACCACGUGCCGCCCGCGCCGCCCGCGCCCCCUGGCGGGCCCCGGCGCCGCCGCCCGAGUCCUGGAAGCAGAGGCGCUUGAGCUCGCCGCCCGCGCCAUCCAGGCCGCCGCCGCCCGCGCCCGCCUCGUCGUCCAGGCCCGUGUCGUGCGCUCCCGCGGCAGCGGCAUUGGCGGCGCCCGCAGGGUCCGGGGCCUCGAAGGAGUCGAGCGCCUCCUCCGCGUCGCGGUGCUGCCGGUAGGUCAUCCAGCAGCAGGCCUCCACGUCGGUCUCGUCGAUGCCCCAGAAGCCCAGCUCCUCCUCGAAGAGCGGCCCGCACACGUCGGCCGGGCAGUGCAGCUUGCCCGUGCGGUAGUAGUUGAGCACGUAGGCGAAGACGCCCGGGUGCCGGUCGAAGAAGAACUCGUCUGCGCCGGGGUCGUAGUCGAAGCGCGCGGCCGCCUCGGGCUCCGUCAGGCCGGCCAGCCGCGUACCCGGCAGGGUGCGCAGCGUCGAGCGGUACGUCUCAUGGCGCACGCCGCCCACGUUGAUCACGAUCUUGCCGCUGUCGCCACCGCCGCCGCCGUGCCGCCCCAUGGCCGCCGCUGGCAGCCCGGGGCAUGGCUCGGCGCGGGGGUCCCCGGGCCCUCGGGGUGCCUGGGGGCCCGCCGGGGAUGCGGCUGGGCCGGGCUGCGCAGGCUGCAGCGGCGGCGGCGGUGGCGGGGACAGCGGCGGCGGGGACUCGGGCUGCUGCGGUGGUGGCGCCGGCUGCUGCUUGCUGGCCCCCUGGCGCCGGGGGAAGGACGAGACGCAGACUGAGCUCAGCAUUGGACAGGGGGCGGGCCGGAGGGGGCAGGGCAGAGAGGGGCGGGGCUCGGGAGGAGAGAUGGACGUGAUUGGGUGGGAGGAGGCGAUGACUAGGAGGGCCGGGCCUGGAGGGUGCAGAGACUGACGCGAUUGGGUGGGAAAAGGCGAUAGAAUGGGGGGGUGGGGCCUCCGUGGGAGAGGAUCAGAGAUGAUUGGCCUGAGGGGUGAGUGGGUGUGGCUGAGGUCUGGAAGGGGGGGCUGGGUCUCUAAUACAGCCUGAAAGGGGGGGCACGAGUGAGGCUCCCCAAUUGGAUGUUUCGGGUGAAGGGCGGGGCGUCAAAGGGUCGCUAACGCUAUCUGGGCGAAACAGGGGAGGGAGAAAGGAGAAAGCGGAGCGAGGCUACGUGGGGGAUCUGUGAGUCUCGAGUCUCCGCCUGUCCCUUGGAGGGGAUUUUGGGAGACAAGAUGGACCCUGAGUUACAGGACACCCAGCUAUGCUCACAGAGGAGGACACGGACUCCAUGCUUGGCAACAGACACCAGGAGAGGAAAAGCUAAUGCCUGUCCACUUCUUCUAAUCUUUCCCCAGCCCUGCUCCCCCAAUCUAUCUUUUCCCGGACACUCAAAGCACAGAAUUCCUGAAAGCUCCGAACUCCCAGCUCUGCCAUCUCUGGAACUCCUUUCCAAUCCUCCCUCCCUCCUUCCUCAGGGCCCGGCGAUUGGGGAUGGGUCUUCCCCUCCCUGAUUUCCAAGACCUCUAUUCUCAUCGGUUCCAAAUCCAGCAAAGGGAGUCUCACUAAAGCUGAAAAUGUGAGGACUCGCCGCCUAAGAUCUUUGAUUGCUAAGACCUCCAAAUACCUGGGUGCCCCAAAGCGUACAACCGAGCGGAGAUCUCUCCGCUGUCAUUUUUGGGUCCCAUCUCCCAGUCCCCGCCUCCAUAACUGGGAUUCGAGUUGUCUUACGCCCCCCGCGGACCUGAACCUCCGCCCCCGCCCCCGUACUCACCCCUAGUCGA